AAAGAAUACACAACUAAUAAGGGGAAGAGGAAGAGGAUAGACCUCCCCUCUACUGUAUUUAGAACCGUGCCCAACUAACUCCUAAUGAUCAGGGCGGUUACUCCUAUAAACCCAACCCUAGAAUAAGAAAGAGAAGGUUGUACAUGUGAUGUAGGAGAAGAUCUGGAUUAAGGGGAAGAACGAUUGGAGGUAGCAAGAACUUCUUCAAUCGAGGGAUGGGUAGAAACUUGGAAUCCACCAAGAAUUCUUGGUUGAGAUCUAGAAUUUAG
Molecule: long non-coding RNA, 269 nt
Filed under: Zostera marina
Lineage: Eukaryota; Viridiplantae; Streptophyta; Magnoliopsida; Alismatales; Zosteraceae
Description: long non-coding RNA (ZMAR_LNC000831)
Source: RNAcentral